AGGGAACAGAAACCCCAGUUAGGGUUUGUAUUCCCGCUCCACUAAGCUCACACUGUUAACGACUCUCUCUGCUGUGUACACCGUUCUUUUGCCAUCGACUGUGUGAAUGUUACAUUGAAACCAAAACCCUAAACAAAUUCCACAGCCAUGUAUCUCUAUAGUCUCACUCUGCAGCGACCCACAGGCAUUGUUUGCGCCAUCAACGGCAACUUCUCCGGCGGCAAGAGCCAAGAAAUCGUGGUGGCCAGAGGCAAGGUUCUCGAUCUUCUUCGCCCUGACGACAACGGUAGGAUUCAAACCAUUCUCUCCGUUGAAAUUUUCGGCGCAAUUAGGUCUCUAGCUCAGUUUAGGUUUCACGGAGCACAUAAGGACUACAUCGUGGUGGGUUCAGAUUCCGGUAGAAUCGUAAUUCUUGAAUACAAUAAGGAGAAAAAUGUUUUCGAUAAAACUCACCAAGAAACCUUCGGGAAAUCCGGUUGCCGCCGAAUUGUCCCGGGUCAGUAUUUGGCCAUAGAUCCCAAGGGUAGGGCUGUUAUGAUUGGGGCUUGUGAGAAGCAAAAGCUUGUUUAUGUUUUGAAUAGGGAUACUGCUGCUAGGUUAACCAUUUCUUCCCCUUUAGAGGCUCAUAAAUCACACACUUUGGUCUAUUCCAUUUGUGGUGUUGACUGUGGCUUUGAGAACCCUAUUUUUGCUGCUAUUGAGUUGGAUUACUCCGAGGCCGAUCAAGAUUCCACUGGCCAGGCUGCUUCUGAAGCCCAGAAGCAUUUGACGUUUUAUGAGCUUGAUCUUGGCCUUAACCAUGUUUCUAGGAAGUGGUCUGAGCAGGUUGAUAAUGGUGCCAAUUUGCUUGUUACUGUUCCUGGAGGCGUUGAUGGCCCCAGUGGUGUUCUUGUUUGUGCCGAAAAUUUUGUUAUUUAUAAGAAUCAGGGUCAUCAGGAUGUUAGGGCUGUGAUUCCUCGGCGUGCUGACUUGCCUGCUGAGCGUGGUGUGCUUAUUGUUUCUGCUGCCAUGCAUAAACUGAAGAAUAUGUUCUUCUUCCUUCUGCAGACAGAGUAUGGAGAUAUUUUUAAGGUCACCUUGGCCCAUAAUGACAACCGUGUCUCGGAAUUGAAGAUUAAGUAUUUUGAUACUAUUCCCGUAACGGCUUCAAUGUGUGUGCUGAAGUCGGGAUUCUUGUUUGCGGCAUCAGAGUUUGGGAAUCAUGCUCUGUAUCAGUUUAAGGCAAUUGGGGAUGAUGAUGAUGUGGAGGCAUCGUCUGCUACGCUGAUGGAGACCGAAGAAGGUUUUCAGCCAGUGUUUUUCCAGCCCAGAAGACUGAAAAACCUUGUUAGGAUUGACCAGGUUGAGAGUUUAAUGCCAAUAAUGGAUAUGAAGGUCAGUAAUCUUUUUGAAGAGGAAACUCCUCAAAUUUUUACUCUUUGCGGGCGUGGUCCUAGGUCAUCUUUGAGGAUCCUGAGAACUGGUUUAGCAGUUAGUGAGAUGGCAGUAUCCAAGCUUCCUGGCAUACCUAGUGCUGUUUGGACAGUGAAAAAGAAUGUUAUUGAUGAGUUUGAUGCUUACAUUGUUGUGUCAUUCACAAAUGCUACUCUUGUGCUUUCCAUUGGUGAGACCGUUGAAGAAGUCAGUGACAGUGGGUUUCUAGAUACUACUCCCUCCCUUGCUGUUUCUUUGAUUGGAGAUGAUUCUCUCAUGCAGGUUCACCCAAAUGGUAUUAGGCAUAUUAGGGAGGAUGGCCGUAUUAAUGAAUGGAGAACACCUGGAAAGAGGACUAUUUCAAAAGUUGGAUCAAAUAGACUUCAGGUGGUUAUUGCACUGAGUGGAGGGGAGCUUAUAUAUUUUGAAGUGGAUGUAACUGGUCAGUUGAUGGAGGUGGAGAAGCAUGAAAUGUCUGGAGAUGUUGCUUGUUUGGACAUUGCUCCAGUACCUGAAGGCAGACAAAGAUCUCGUUUUCUUGCAGUUGGCUCAUAUGACAAGACCAUUCGCAUCUUAUCACUGGAUCCUGAUGAUUGUAUGCAGGCUCUAAGUGUACAAAGUGUUUCUUCAGCUCCAGAAUCUCUUCUUUUUCUUGAAGUUCAAGCAUCUGUUGGUGGUGAGGAUGGUGCAGAUCAUCCUGCUAGCCUUUUCUUGAAUGCUGGCUUACAGAAUGGUGUCUUGUUUAGAACUGUGGUGGAUAUGGUUACAGGUCAGCUUUCUGAUUCCCGUUCCAGGUUCUUAGGAUUGAGAGCCCCAAAGCUGUUUCCCAUUAUUGUGAGAGGCAAGCGUGCUAUGCUAUGCUUGUCAAGUCGACCUUGGCUUGGUUAUAUUCACCAAGGACAUUUCCUUUUAACACCCCUUUCAUAUGAAACCCUUGAAUAUGCUGCCUCAUUUUCGUCUGACCAAUGUGUGGAAGGUAUAGUUGCUGUUGCUGGUGAGGCCUUGAGGAUUUUUACUAUAGAAAGAUUAGGAGAGACAUUUAAUGAAACUGUAAUUCCGUUAAGGUACACACCAAGGAAAUUUGUGCUGCAACCCAAACGAAAACUUCUCGUGAUGAUUGAGAGUGAUCAGGGAGCAUUGACUGCAGAAGAACGUGAAGCUGCAAGAAAAGAGUGUUUUGAGGCUGCUCAGGCUGGGGAAAAUGGUACUGGAAGUGCGGACCAAAUGGAGAAUGGUGGUGAGGAUGAAGAUAAAGAUGAUCCACUUUCUGAUGAGCAUUAUGGUUAUCCAAAAGCUGAAUCGGAUAAGUGGGUUUCCUGCAUCAGGGUUCUCGAUCCAAGGACAGGAAAUACAACUUGUCUUUUGGAGCUACAAGAGAAUGAGGCUGCUUUCAGCAUAUGCACAGUAAAUUUCCAUGAUAAGGAAUACGGAACUCUUUUAGCUGUUGGAACAGCAAAGGGACUGCAAUUUUUGCCCAAAAGGAGUUUAACUGCUGGUUUUAUUCAUAUAUAUAGGUUUGUAGAGGAUGGAAGAUCCCUCGAACUUCUUCACAAAACUCAGGUUGAAGGCGUUCCUGUUGCUCUAUGUCAGUUUCAAGGAAGAUUACUUGCAGGAAUAGGACCUGUGCUCAGGCUGUAUGAUUUGGGAAAAAGACGAUUGUUAAGAAAAUGUGAGAAUAAGCUGUUCCCCAACACAAUUGUCUCUAUUCAAGCAUACCGUGAUCGAAUUUAUGUUGGUGAUGUCCAAGAGGUGGCUUACUGCAUCUUACCACAUAGAUUUUGACACUAUGGCUGGUGCCGACAAGUUUGGCAAUAUCUAUUUUGUGCGGUUGCCACAGGAUGUUUCAGAUGAGAUAGAAGAAGAUCCUACCGGUGGGAGGAUCAAGUGGGAACAGGGAAAGCUGAAUGGAGCUCCCAAUAAGGUGGAAGAAAUUGUACAAUUUCACGUUGGUGAUGUGGUCACAUGCUUGCAAAAGGCUUCUCUCAUACCAGGUAGUGGAGAGUGCAUUGUAUACGGAACAGUUAUGGGAAGUGUUGGGGCAUUACACGCCUUUACUUCACGAGACGAUGUUGAUUUCUUUUCUCAUUUGGAGAUGCAUAUGAGGCAGGAUCAUCCACCUUUGUGUGGAAGAGAUCACAUGGCCUACAGAUCUGCCUAUUUUCCUGUUAAGGAUGUUAUUGAUGGGGAUCUAUGCGAGCAAUUCCCAACAUUGCCCAUGGAUUUGCAGAGAAAAAUUGCUGAUGAAUUGGACAGAACCCCUGGAGAGAUACUGAAGAAACUAGAGGAAGUGCGAAAUAAGAUUAUUUAAGAAAUGAUGGUCAUGGUCUGAAAGGUCAUUGCGGAAAUGUGUUUUUCUAGGAGGUCGUUUGCUGGCAGUUAGGUUACUACUAACAAAGUGAAGUAAGCUUGUGUAUCUCCUUCAUACGGGAACGGUGAUUUCUUGUCCUAUUUUAAUGCAAGCGGAUGAGGAACUGUACUCUAUUGUUGAAAUGAAACCCAUAUGUUGUAAUUAAUCGUAGUUGACUGUUAUCACUCUUUGUGGAUGUGAUGACGCUUCCCAUAUCUCUCUAUCUUCCAUCUCAGCACCCUUCCCUAUUACUCAAUCAGACGUUGGUUUAACUUUAUAUUAAAUUUAUUGUCCGGAAUAUCACCACUUCACCAUUUCAAAGAAGAGUAGGUGCUGCUGAUUGCGUUGGGUCACGUAUCAUCAACAUUAUGCAUGAAAAAAAGAUGUUUGGUAGAGAAAUAUAUAUUUUAUUGUGU
Abrus precatorius (Indian licorice) is the source of this 4176-nucleotide RNA transcript. It is a transcript of the gene named spliceosome-associated protein 130 A, with no coding region annotated. The transcript has 4 exons. Lineage: Eukaryota; Viridiplantae; Streptophyta; Magnoliopsida; Fabales; Fabaceae. The record is from RefSeq and is a predicted model, not a curated record.